Long non-coding RNA from Ylistrum balloti, 1415 nucleotides. RefSeq lists it as uncharacterized. NCBI's taxonomy places the organism in Eukaryota, Metazoa, Mollusca, Bivalvia, Pectinida, Pectinidae. The transcript is spliced from 3 exons. The record is from RefSeq and is a predicted model, not a curated record.
UUUAGAGUGAGGUUUGUAGAAUACAUGAGUUUAGAGUGAGGUUUGUAGAAAACAUGAGUUUAGAGUGAGUGUUAUAGAAUGCAUGAGUUUAGAGUGAGGUUUGUAGAAUACACAAGUUUAGAGUGAGGUUUGUAGAAAACAUGAGUUUAGAGUGAGGUUUGUAGAAUACAUGAGUUUAGAGUGAGGUUUGUAGAAUACAUGAGUUUAGAGUGAGGUUUGUAGAAUACAUGAGUAUAGAGUGAGUGUUAUAGAAUACAUGAGUUUAGAGUGAGGUUUGUAGAAAACAUGAGUUUAGAGUGAGUGUUAUAGAAUGCAUGAGUUUAGAGUGAGGUUUGUAGAAUACAUGAGUUUAGAGUGAGGUUUGUAGAAUACAUGAGUUUAGAGUGAGGUUUGUAGAAUACAUGAGUUUAGAGUGAGGUUUGUAGAAUACAUGAGUAUAGAGUGAGUGUUAUAGAAUACAUGAGUUUAGAGUGAGGUUUGUAGAAUACAUGAGUUUAGAGUGAGUGUUAUAGAAUGCAUGACUUUAGAGUGAGGUUUGUAGAAUACAUGAGUUUAGUGUGAGUGUUGUAGAAAACAUGAGUUUAGAGUGAGGUUUGUAGAAAACAUGAGUUUAGAGUGAGUGUUGUAGAAAACAUGAGUUUAGAGUUAGGUUUGUGGAAUACACAAGUUUAGAGUGAGGUUUGUAGAAAACAUGAGUUUAGAGUGAGGUUUGUAGAAUACAUGAGUUUAGAGUGAGGUUUGUAGAAAACAUGAGUUUAGAGUGAGUGUUAUAGAAUGCAUGAGUUUCGAGUGAGGUUUGUAGAAUACAUGAAUUUAGAGUGAGUGUUAUAGAAUGCAUGAGUUUUGAGUGAGGUUUGUAGAAUACAUGAGUUUAGAGUGAGCGUUAUAGAAUGCAUGAGAUUAGAGUGAGGUUUGUAGAAUACAUGAGUUUAGAGUGAGUGAUAUAGAAUGCAUGAGUUUAGAGUGAGUGUUAUAAAAUGCAUGAGUUUAGAGUGAGGUUUGUAGAAUACAUGAGUUUAGAAUGAGUGUUAUAGCAUGCAUGAGUUUAAAGUGAGUGUUGUAGAAAACAUGAGUUUAGAGUGGGGUUUGUAGAAAACAUGAGUUUAGAGUGAGUUUUGUAGAAUACAUGAGUUUAGAGUGAGGUUUGUGGAAAACAUGAGUUUAGAGUGAGUGUUAUAGAAUGCAUGAGUUUCGAGUGAGGUUUGUAGAAUACAUGAGUUUAGAGUGAGUGUUAUAGAAUGCAUGAGAUUUGAGUGAGGUUUGUAGAAUACAUGAGUUUAGAGUGAGCGUUAUAGAAUGCAUGAGUUUAGAGUGAGGUUUGUAGAAUACAUGAGUUUAGAGUGAGUGAUAUAGAAUGCAUGAGUUUAGAGUGAGUGUUAUAAAAUGCAUGAGUUUAGAGUGAGGUUUGUAGAAUA